This is a small nucleolar RNA of Pogona vitticeps (central bearded dragon), 73 nucleotides long. Lineage: Eukaryota; Metazoa; Chordata; Lepidosauria; Squamata; Agamidae. The record is from Ensembl.
CUUCUGUUGAUGAUAACCUUUGUCCAGUUCUGCUGCUGAAUAAAGAGCGAUGACAGGUAUUGAUCUGAAGAAG